AGAGUUUGAUCCUGGCUCAGAUUGAACGCUGGCGGCAGGCUUAACACAUGCAAGUCGAGCGGUAGCACAGGGGAGCUUGCUCCCUGGGUGACGAGCGGCGGACGGGUGAGUAAUGUCUGGGAAACUGCCUGAUGGAGGGGGAUAACUACUGGAAACGGUAGCUAAUACCGCAUAACGUCGCAAGACCAAAGAGGGGGACCUUCGGGCCUCUUGCCAUCAGAUGUGCCCAGAUGGGAUUAGCUAGUAGGUGGGGUAAUGGCUCACCUAGGCGACGAUCCCUAGCUGGUCUGAGAGGAUGACCAGCCACACUGGAACUGAGACACGGCCCAGACUCCUACGGGAGGCAGCAGUGGGGAAUAUUGCACAAUGGGCGCAAGCCUGAUGCAGCCAUGCCGCGUGUGUGAAGAAGGCCUUCGGGUUGUAAAGCACUUUCAGCGAGGAGGAAGGUGGUGAGCUUAAUACGCUCAUCAAUUGACGUUACUCGCAGAAGAAGCACCGGCUAACUCCGUGCCAGCAGCCGCGGUAAUACGGAGGGUGCAAGCGUUAAUCGGAAUUACUGGGCGUAAAGCGCACGCAGGCGGUUUGUUAAGUCAGAUGUGAAAUCCCCGGGCUCAACCUGGGAACUGCAUUUGAAACUGGCAAGCUAGAGUCUCGUAGAGGGGGGUAGAAUUCCAGGUGUAGCGGUGAAAUGCGUAGAGAUCUGGAGGAAUACCGGUGGCGAAGGCGGCCCCCUGGACGAAGACUGACGCUCAGGUGCGAAAGCGUGNGGAGCAAACAGGAUUAGAUACCCUG
This 792-nucleotide ribosomal RNA is filed under the name uncultured Serratia sp. RNAcentral describes it as "bacterial SSU rRNA". It matches the Rfam family "Bacterial small subunit ribosomal RNA", at positions 8 to 789 of the family's 1533-position model. The record is from RNAcentral. Lineage: Bacteria; Pseudomonadati; Pseudomonadota; Gammaproteobacteria; Enterobacterales; Yersiniaceae.